GAUGAACGCUGGCGGCGUGCCUAAUACAUGCAAGUCGAGCGAACAGACGAGGAGCUUGCUCCUCUGACGUUAGCGGCGGACGGGUGAGUAACACGUGGAUAACCUACCUAUAAGACUGGGAUAACUUCGGGAAACCGGAGCUAAUACCGGAUAACAUGUUGAACCGCAUGGUUCAACAGUGAAAGACGGUCUUGCUGUCACUUAUAGAUGGAUCCGCGCCGCAUUAGCUAGUUGGUAAGGUAACGGCUUACCAAGGCAACGAUGCGUAGCCGACCUGAGAGGGUGAUCGGCCACACUGGAACUGAGACACGGUCCAGACUCCUACGGAAGGCAGCAGUGGGGAAUAUUCCGCAAUGGGCGAAAGCCUGACGAAACAACGCCGCGUGAGUGAAGAAGGUCUUCGGAUCGUAAGACUCUGUUAUUAGGGAAGAACAAAUGUGUAAGUAACUAUGCACGUCUUGACGGUACCUAAUCAGAAAGCCCCGGCUAACUACGUG
Molecule: ribosomal RNA, 497 nt
Filed under: uncultured bacterium
Lineage: Bacteria
Description: partial 16S ribosomal RNA
Rfam family: Bacterial small subunit ribosomal RNA
Source: RNAcentral